GCGCUGGUAGCUCAGCGGUUAGAGCACCGUCCUUAUAAGACGGGGGUCGCUGGUUCGAAUCCAGCCCAGCGCA
Molecule: transfer RNA, 73 nt
Filed under: Candidatus Parcubacteria bacterium
Lineage: Bacteria; Candidatus Parcubacteria
Also listed under: 1 other name
Description: tRNA-Ile
Rfam family: tRNA
About the family: Transfer RNA (tRNA) molecules are approximately 80 nucleotides in length. Their secondary structure includes four short double-helical elements and three loops (D, anti-codon, and T loops).
Source: RNAcentral